UACGAAAGGUGCGAGCGUUAAUCGGAAUUACUGGGCGUAAAGCGCGCGUAGGCGGCUACUUAAGUCGGAUGUGAAAUCCCCGGGCUCAACCUGGGAACUGCAUCCGAUACUGGGUAGCUAGAGUGCAGUAGAGGGAGGUGGAAUUUCAGGUGUAGCGGUGAAAUGCGUAGAGAUCUGAAGGAACACCAGUGGCGAAGGCGGCCUCCUGGACUGACACUGACGCUGAGGUGCGAAAGCGUGGGGAUCAAACAGG
RNAcentral lists this ribosomal RNA (253 nucleotides) under uncultured Alcanivorax sp. RNAcentral's name for it is "partial 16S ribosomal RNA". It matches the Rfam family "Bacterial small subunit ribosomal RNA", at positions 524 to 776 of the family's 1533-position model. The record is from RNAcentral. Lineage: Bacteria; Pseudomonadati; Pseudomonadota; Gammaproteobacteria; Oceanospirillales; Alcanivoracaceae.